Molecule: long non-coding RNA, 325 nt
Organism: Impatiens glandulifera
Lineage: Eukaryota; Viridiplantae; Streptophyta; Magnoliopsida; Ericales; Balsaminaceae
Exons: 3
Source: RefSeq, a predicted model, not a curated record
GUAACUAUGUUUUCUGUUCUUUUUCUUCUUUUGAUAAGUUUUUCAUUGAGAUUUCUUACAACAAAAUCAAUUCUUUUUCUAGGAAAAUUUGGUCACAUACCUGCAAUGUGUAGCUUCACACAUAACAGGAGAUGAAAAAGUGACCGUGACCCACAAAUAGUGAUGGGUCCCUAACAGAACCUCCAUCAAUAACUUCAGUCCUCCAUCUGCAAAUAAACAGGUUAUUCAAUCCGAGAUAAUGUUAUAAUGCGUGCUUUGGGAAAUGUCAAUGAACGGAGAAGUGCUAGAUCAAUAAUAACUUGUUAGGAGUUGUGUAAGAGCGAAG